UUAUUUGCAUUGAAAUGGUAAGUACGAUAGAAGAACCUUUGACAGAGAGCUUCGGUAGCUGAGAAGAAGCAAGGAACGACUAUUGGAAAAUGGCCAUCGAGCAAUUCAUCCCGAGCAUAGAUGUAAGGCGAUGACGGCUGCGACCGAUAUCUUGCUAGAGUAUGAUCGUACUUGAAGAGGAGUUGUGUGUGAACACAGCUUGAACAUGAGGUGGUAACACGCAAAAAAGCGUCCUCAAG
RNAcentral lists this non-coding RNA (239 nucleotides) under Enterococcus faecium. RNAcentral's name for it is "T-box sequence". It matches the Rfam family "T-box leader". Rfam says of the family: Uncharged tRNA acts as the effector for transcription antitermination of genes in the T-box leader family. Lineage: Bacteria; Bacillati; Bacillota; Bacilli; Lactobacillales; Enterococcaceae. The record is from RNAcentral.